Molecule: long non-coding RNA, 222 nt
Filed under: Homo sapiens (human)
Lineage: Eukaryota; Metazoa; Chordata; Mammalia; Primates; Hominidae
Description: non-protein coding lnc-TERF2-2:1
Source: RNAcentral
GAUCUAAAAUAGAAUUGAACUCAACUGCUCUCCGCUAGAGGUCCCAGCACUUUGGAAUUCCAAGUUUGGUUAAGGUACAGUGUUGUGCGCCACUUUUUAACUGCCAUUACAACUGACAGAUUGCUCUUCCUAUGAUGUCGUCGUUUUCAUCCUGUCACUCUCGCAGUCUACCAUUCAGGGCUCUCCACAAUCCAUUCGCAACCUCUUUCACUAACGUAUAAU